This is a non-coding RNA of Podarcis lilfordi (Lilford's wall lizard), 82 nucleotides long. The record is from the annotation of a GenBank genome assembly. NCBI's taxonomy places the organism in Eukaryota, Metazoa, Chordata, Lepidosauria, Squamata, Lacertidae.
UCCCAAAACAAACCACAAACUGCGUUGGUAGAGCAUGAGUCUCUUACUCUCAGGAUUGUGGGUUCAAGCCCCACAUUGGGAA